GAAAAAGAGAGGGAAAAAGACGUUGAUGAGAGGAUGGACAUUUUUACCUUAGAACGGUUGGUAAAGAAAUUAUAAAAGAAGACGACAGAACUAGAACAAAACCCAUACCUACUAAGAUAUGAAUGGAAAUACAUGUUUUAGUUUAUAAAAGAGUUGUUAUAAUUUUGUUAAAACUUAGUAAAGACUGAAGCUACCGUCUCGUCGUGGAGGUAUUUGCCAGCAUUGAGGUUAGCCUAGCAUCGUGUGACACCGGGAGAUAAUUGCUUGAGAAGCUUAACGAGUUCGUGUUCCCAUGGGAUAUCGGUUACGGCUAAGGAGUACUGUCUGCAUGGGUAGCUGUGCUUGCCUUGGACUUUGUGAGGACACCUGCAUGGAACUGCCAUACUUCGCUGAGGGAAUAUCUACCAAGCAGCAACUGAGACUUUUGCUCUACUUCACUGUUGCAGUCACUUUGAGCUGGUGACGGAAGAGCUGGAACUUCUUCGUCCACGGGUAAGUCCACUGGUAAGUUCAUUGUCUGUUGUCUGAAAGAUGCUUUGUUGCGAAAUAGGAAGCCUAUUCUAGAUUUAAUUUUGUAUUGGAGAUUUAUAUACACUGCUCAAAAAAAUAAAGGGAACACUAAAAUAACACAUCCUAGAUCUGAAUGAAUGAAAUAAUCUUAUUAAAUACUUUUUUCUUUACAUAGUUGAAUGUGCUGACAACAAAAUCACACAAAAAGAAUCAAUGGAAAUCCAAUUUAUCAACCCAUGGAGGUCUGGAUUUGGAGUCACACUCAAAAUUAAAGUGGAAAACCACACUACAGGCUGAUCCAACUUUGAUGUAAUGUCCUUAAAACAAGUCAAAAUAAGGCUCAGUAGUGUGUGGCCUCCACGUGCCUGUAUGACCUCCCUACAACGCCUGGGCAUGCUCCUGAUGAGGUGGCGGAUGGUCUCCUGAGGGAUCUCCUCCCAGACCUGGACUAAAGCAUCUGCCAACUCCUGGACAGUCUGUGGUGCAACGUGGCGUUGGUGGAUGGAGCGAGACAUGAUGUGCUCAAUUGGAUUCGGGUCUGGGGAACGGGCGGGCCAGUCCAUAGCAUCAAUGCCUUCCUCUUGCAGGAACUGCUCACACACUCCAGCCACAUGAGGUCUAGCAUUGUCAUGCAUUAGGAGGAACCCAGGGCCAACCGCACCAGCAUAUGGUCUCACAAGGGGUCUGAGGAUCUCAUCUCGGUACCUAAUGGCAGUCAGGCUACCUCUGGCGAGCACAUGGAGGGCUGUGCGGCCCCCCAAAGAAAUGCCACCCCACACCAUGACUGACCCACCGCCAAACCGGUCAUGCUGGAGGAUGUUGCAGGCAGCAGAACGUUCUCCACGGCGUCUCCAGACUCUGCCACAUCUGUAGCAUGUGCUCAGUGUGAACCUGCUUUCAUCUGUGAAGAGCACAGGGCGACAGUGGCGAAUUUGCCAAUCUUGGUGUUCUCUGGCAAAUGCCAAACGUCCUGCACGGUGUUGGGCUGGAAGCACAACCCCCACCUGUGGACGUCGGGCCCUCAUACCACCC
This 1542-nucleotide long non-coding RNA is filed under the name Salmo salar (Atlantic salmon). RNAcentral's name for it is "lncRNA (ENSSSAG00000098768.1)". The record is from RNAcentral. Lineage: Eukaryota; Metazoa; Chordata; Actinopteri; Salmoniformes; Salmonidae.